UUUUUUUCUUUUUCUUUUUUGGCUGCCCCUUGGCUCAUGAAGUUAUUGGGCCAGGGAUCAGAUGCCCAUGCUAAAUCCUUAACCCACUGUGCUGGGCCAGGAAUCAAACCUGCGUCCCAGUGCUCCAGAGACCCUGCAGAUCCCUUUGUGACACAGUGGGAACACCAACCUAUGAAAGUUUGUGUGCAUGUGUUUUACCUUAACUUAAGAACCUAAAUGUUAACUGUUAAAUAGCUGCUAAUGUAAGCUAACAAUGAAAAGAACUCUGAGGUAGUAGCCAGGAUGCACAGUUUAUUUGCAUUACACCCUAUGCUCAUCACAAUGUAGCUUAGUUUACACAGUUAAGAAGGUAAUGAAAAGGUUAUCAUACUCACAAUAGAUAGGAAUAUGAAUCCUCAAGUGGUGACACAAAGGCAUGGAGAUAUUCAAGCAGAAAUUCAGAUUUACCGUCUAUCAGGAAUGCUGUGACGCAUGUUAAAAUUUCUCGUAAUUAAAAUUCUCACCAACUCUAGGAGCUUAUGAUUAUUUUCUAUUCUGACCUUGAGGAAAGUUGAUUUAGAACAGCUAAGAAGAGGAGUUUCUAUCGUGACUCAGUGGAAAUGAAUCUGACUAGUAUCCAUGAGGACACAGGUUUGAUCCCUGGCCUCACUCAGUGGGUUAAGGAUCUGGAGUUGCCAUGAGCUAUGGUGUAGUCCUACAGCUGUAGUUCGGAUUCAACCCCUAGCCUGGGAACCUCCAUAUGCUGCAGGUGUGGCCCUAAAAAGACAAAAGACAAAAAAAAAAGAAAAAAAAAGAACAGGUGAGAAGAAGGGAAAAAAUAGGAUCUCAUGGAUAUCGAUUCUCAAAGAGAAUAUUGCUCAAAAGCGAUGGGAGAUUUCUAAAAUUAAGAAUCUGUCCCUAACAUCUCAAAUCAUUACAUUAAGGGAGAGAGAGACAACGUGUAAACCAGUGCUACUCAAAGCAUGGUCCAGAGUGCUGAGGAGUCCCUAAAUUCCUUUCAUGUAGCUACAAAAUCAAAACUAUUUUCCUAAAAACACUAAAAUAUUUUUUGUCCUAUUUCUUAUUUGCUCAUAAUGUGUACAACGUAGUUUUGAGAAAUUAAAUGUGUGAUAUCAUUGGUGUGCUAGCCAACAAAACAAAUCCUUGUGCAUUCUUUUCAAAAAUAUUUAAGAUGGUAGCUUUCAAAUAUAAAUAUACGCACAUUUUCAGAAAUUAAUUCAGUUUGCUCUCCAUAUGUCUGUGGCCUUCCUAGCUUUCUUCACUUUAUAUCUGCUAUAAUCUCUGUAACCUUAUUAUCAUCCAUAAAUCAUUAUUUUGAAAUCUUAGAGUUUUCCUUUUGUCUACUUGUAAACAUAAAAAAAAAAAGUUGGUACACUCUGUAGUCCUGUUUUGCAAUAGCAUUUUAAAAUUUCUGCUUUAGUUUCUAAUACAGUAAAAAUCUUUGCUAUCUUCAAUAAUGUUAAAGAGUGUACAGGGAUCCUGAGACAAAGCUUGAGAAGCACUGAUCUAAAUAAACAUCGUGGUCUCUGAUGAGCACAUAAAGUUACACAAAAUCUAGAAAGAGGGGACAUUACGGCCAAACAUGAAUGCUUUGAUGAAUUGAAAAAGCUGUACAAAACUAGGGCUAAUAGUCAGGAAUGCUAAAUUCAAUAUCAAAAACUCAAUCAUUUCAGAAAAAUAAAAACUAUGAGAACUUUGCCUGGAGAUGAAGGUCCAAAGGUAAAUUGAGGUCAGAAAAAAUGUUUCCAAUAUUAUUUUUACAAUUAAAAACAACAACUUCUGUACUCAGUGGGCUUACUUUGGACCACAGGAAAAUAUAUUUAUCUACUGCUUCCUUUCCAUUAUUGCAGAAAGGUUCCACUAUGGAGUAUGCUAUCAUCUUUCUUUGUUGGUAGAACAGAGCGACAGAAUCUUAAAAAGAGAAAAGGAGGACACAAACUGUAUAUGCACAAAUGCCUAUCUUGUUUAAGUGGUUCUAGAACAUGUAACCUUUUUGGUAACUCAGAAUGCUGGAGAAUAUUUCAGUAGCAUGUUUAAAAAUCCAGGUAUUAAUGGUUAAUUGCUUAGUAACCUCCUAUUUUGGAAACAAGAUAGUUCAUAUAGUCUCUAAAUUUGUGUGUAAGACCCUUCCGAAUUCAACAUACCUUAGGGUUCUUAACACAAGUUUUACGUUAGAUUUCACAAGGUCUAUGACUAUUUCAUUAAAUUGCCUAAAAAUUGUUCGCGUGAGAAUAUAUGGGCAUUUUUCUGGGAAGAUGAGCUAUAGCAUUCAUCAGAUUCUCAAGGAAGUUUUAGUCCCAGAAAAUAUUCUUGAAACACUGCUCAUGGCUAGUGUUUAAAAUAUCAGUUAAUUGAAAAGGCUAGGUAGUUACAGCAAUUUUUUAAAAAAUUCUUUGUCAUCAGGGUCAUUUUAAUGAGGUCCAAAUUUAAGAAAUAGUCCUUUUUUAUUAUCUACAGUUUACAAAUAUAUAUCCAUAUAAGCCUAUGGAAAUACCAGUAAUGUCCUAGAUAAUUCAUUUUAAAGGAUAUUUAAAUUUCUGAAAACUGUCAAUGUUUUCAAAAUAAACAAGGCAAAUGAAUAGUAUGAAUUGUUUAAUUGGGGAUAAUGCAUAUUCUUCUAAUGUUUACCUUAUAAGAAAAUGUUUUAAGACAAUAUGGAAAGCAGUUGAUUAAAUGAAUAAGAUUUAUGAUAAAGAGCCUUUCAUUAAGUCUUAGUAUUCUUUUCUUAAAGUUUGAACAUAUCCUCUAAACCAAAAUGGGGCACUUCCUGUCUAUUUUAGCUUCAGACUUACAGUCAAACUUGUCUAUUUUUUACUCUAAUGGAAAAAUAACUAAACCUAAAUGCAUGGAAUGUCAUUUUAAACAGAGAAGAGAAUCAGGCAUUAUUAAGAAAAAUGAAUUUAUCUCACAAGCAAUAAAUAUUUUAUAACUAUAUAUGAAUAUGUCAUUUCAAAACCUUGGAUAACAGUUAUUAUUCAUAUUAAAUAUAAUGAGUUGAGAAGCCAAAUAUAUUUAAUUCUGUCAAUCUAUGCUAUAGAUAUUGUAAUAAGCUAAGAAAUCAUAGGAUAUCACUCACAUGCGGAAUCUAGGAAAAAUAUGAUGCAAAUGAACUUAUUUACAAAGAAAUAAUAGGCCCACAGACACAGAAAACAAAUUAUGGUUACCAAAGGGGAAGGGGGAAGCAUAAAUUAGGAGUUUGUGAUUAACAUAUACAUACUACUAUAUAUAAUAUAGAUAACCAGCAAGGACCUAUUGUAUAGCAUAGGGAACUCUACUCAAUAUUUUGUAAUAAGCUAUAAGGUUAAAGAAUCUGAAAAAAGAAUAGAUGCAUGUAUAUGUUUAACCGAACCACAUUGUUGUACACCUGAAGCUAACACAACACUGUAAAGCAACUAUACUUUAAUAAAAAUUAAAUUUAAUUAAUUUUUUAAUGUUUUUAAAAUGACAUAAAAGAACAAAGUUUGGAGGACAUAUUUCUCAGCAGUAGGUUCAACCAUACAUAACAGGAAAAGUUAAAUAAUAGGGAUUUAAUAAGAAGUUUUUCUUUCAUUGAAAGAAUCCAGAGAGCUAGGCAACCCAGGACUUAUGAACUGACUUUUCAAAAGAUUUCAGGUCCUUCCAGCUUUCCUUUCUCCCAUCCCUGGGAUGUGGUCCUUGCCUCAGGUUUCAAGGAGACUGCACUCAGCAGGGUGAGCACAGAAUGAAAAAGGCAUCCCUCCUUUAAAGAGAACUUCCAUGAGUCCUUCACAACACCUCUAGUUCCAUUCAUUAGCCAGAAUUCCAAAAUCAUCCAUUGUGGUAAACAGAACGGCUCCCCCAAAACGCCCAACCCCAAUCCCUGGAAUUUGUGAAUAUGUUAAGUUGCAUGGCAAACAGGACUUUUCCAACAUAAUUAAGGUCACAGACCUUAAAAUAGGGAGAUUAUUAAAGUGGGGCCAAUUUAACCAUAUGAGCAGUUAAAAGUGGAGAACUUUCUCUAACUGGAGGCAAAAGGAAGCAAUGGCAUAAGAGGAAGUCAGAGACAUUCCCAGCAUGACUCAACACACACAUCUCUGUUGGCCCUGAGAUGUAGGGACCCACAUGCAACCAUCAGUGAGAGGCCUCUAGGGGCUAAGUGUAGCCUGAAGCUGACAGCCAGCAAGGAAACAGGGUUCCCAUCCUACAAAUUCAAGACACUAGUUUCUGCCAACAGCCUGAGCGAAUUUGGAUGUGAAUUCCUCCCAAAGUCAUCCAAAGAGAGCACAGCCACUGACACCUUGAUUUUGUCUUUGUAAAAUCCAGGGUAGAGAAACUAGGCAAGCUAUCCCAGACUUUUGAACUGCAGAACCAAGAUAUAACAAAUUUAUGUUAUUCUAAACUACUACAUGUGUGCUUAUUUGUUACAGCAGCCAUAGAAAACAAAUACACGAGGUCACACCCAGCAGCAAUAAAGGUCAGGAAAUAAGGUCUUCUAACCAGGUGGCUGUACAUGCAGCUGAAACCUCCAGGUCAAUUUGGAAAAGAAUGAGGAGAAUGUGUAUUUGUUUAACAGCUAGUCUCCACCAUUGGAGAAUUAAUGAAAAAGGGAGGACUAAAGCAGGUUUAGUAUUUUUAGUAUUAAUUGAAUAUAGCUCUCAAAGAGGUUCAAAAUGAUUAAGGACCUUUCAAAAUAUCCAACUCUUUACUUCUAAUGUUGCCAUUUAACGUGCUAUGCCUUUACCACUGAAUGCAAGGUGAUGUGAUCAAAGCUCUCUCAUCUCUCAUGUAUGGGACUGGCAAUGGUCAGUUAUCAAUUUUCUAAAAAAUCACUUACAUUGGGGAAUCAUAAUAAAAAUUACAUACCUUUAAGAUUUUAUUUUAGUUCAAACAAGCAUGUACAUUCAUGGGCAAAUCUGUUUAUGUAGAGUCUGGUCCAUUCUUCAAAUUUAUGGCAAAUAAUGGCUUUCUCACACUCUUUCUAAAAUCUGUUUCCUUAAAGCAAAAACUUAAACUUGCAAUAAAAUCUGAGCACAUAAUCCCUCUAAAGUUUCUUUAGAAACCCAUCUCUUCCAAAACUAAUUCAUUAUCAUUGCUUUUAUCUGCACACCUGUAGGCUUCACAAAAUACUAUCCAACUUCAUUUUUUACAACUUUCAUUUACUUUGCACACAUAUUUCAUAAGUGCAUGGCAAUACUUUAUUAAAAUAUACAACCCAUGGAGUUCCUUUUGUGGCUCUGUGGUAAUGAACCUGACUGGUUUACAUGAGGAUGUGAGUUCCCUCUCUGGCCCCACUAAGUGGGUUAGGGAUCCGGCAUUGCCCUGAGCUGUGGCAUAGGUCACAGAUGCGGCUUGGAUCCCACGUUGCUGUGGCUGUGGUGUAGGCUGGCAGCUGCAGUACCCAUUCUACCCCCAGCCUGGGAACUUCCAUAUGCUGCAGGUGUGAGCCUAAAAAGCAAUAAAUAAAUAAAUAAUAAAACCCCAAUAAUAAGUACUAUUUGCCUGUGCAGGUUUGGUUGUUGAUGAUGCAAAAGAAGUGAGGGGGAGUGUACUAGACUGUACCAAUGCUUGGACAUUCUCCGUGGAGUAGUGUAAGUCAGUAUAUUUGCAAAGGGAAUAGAGAGUAAUCCUAAAUUAGGUGGGUUAGUUAAAAAGAGGAGGAUAAAGGAGUUCCCGUUGUGGCGCAGUGGUUAAUGAAUCCGACUAGGAACCAUGCGGUUGCGGGUUCAGUCCCUGCCCUUGCUCAGUGGGUUAAGGAUCUGGCGUUGCCGUGAGCUGUGGUGUAGGUUGCAGAUGCAGCUCGGAUCCCGUGUUGCUGUGGCUCCGGGUAGGCCAGCAGUUCCAGAUCCGAUUGGACCCCUAGCCUGGGAACCUCCAUGUGCCGCGGGAGUGGCCC
Molecule: long non-coding RNA, 5851 nt
Filed under: Sus scrofa (pig)
Lineage: Eukaryota; Metazoa; Chordata; Mammalia; Artiodactyla; Suidae
Description: lncRNA (ENSSSCG00015004343.1)
Source: RNAcentral